Small nucleolar RNA from Hippopotamus amphibius kiboko, 147 nucleotides. RefSeq annotates it as small nucleolar RNA SNORA79. Lineage: Eukaryota; Metazoa; Chordata; Mammalia; Artiodactyla; Hippopotamidae. The record is from RefSeq and is a predicted model, not a curated record. The transcript has a single exon.
UGAUGGCUGUUCCUCUCAUGCUUGGAGCCUUAGGUAGUGAGAUUUUAGUCCAUCAUAUAUCUAAGCUGACUCGUUUUCACUCAGGGCACUAUGGGGAUGAGUUGGCUGUCUGGUAGUGCCUUCUGAUUUUUGCAGAGUCAAUUGAAA